RNAcentral lists this ribosomal RNA (598 nucleotides) under uncultured bacterium. Its description in RNAcentral is "bacterial SSU rRNA". It matches the Rfam family "Bacterial small subunit ribosomal RNA", at positions 338 to 956 of the family's 1533-position model. The record is from RNAcentral.
CCUACGGGAGGCAGCAGUGGGGAAUCUUGCGCAAUGGGCGAAAGCCUGACGCAGCAACGCCGCGUGCGGGAAGAAGGCUUUCGGGCUGUAAACCGCUUUCAGCAGGAACGAAAAUGACGGUACCUGCAGAAGAAGGAGCGGCCAACUAUGUGCCAGCAGCCGCGGUGAUACAUAGGCUUCAAGCGUUGUCCGGAUUUAUUGGGCGUAAAGAGUUCGUAGGCGGUCAAGUAAGUCGGGUGUGAAAAUUCUGGGCUCAACCCAGAGACGCCACCCGAUACUGCUUAACUUGAGUUCGAUAGGGGAGUGGGGAAUUCCUAGUGUAGCGGUGAAAUGCGCAGAUAUUAGGAGGAACACCGGUGGCGAAGGCGCCACUCUGGAUCGAUACUGACGCUGAGGAACGAAAGCAUGGGUAGCAAACAGGAUUAGAUACCCUGGUAGUCCAUGCCGUAAACGGUGGGCACUAGGUGUGGGUUUCUAUUAACGAAAUCCGCGCCGUCGCUAACGCAUUAAGUGCCCCGCCUGGGGAGGUACGGUCGCGAGACGUAAACUACAAGAAGUAGUAACGGCGUGAGAGUGCGAGACGACGACGAGGGAGAGG